This 506-nucleotide ribosomal RNA is filed under the name uncultured bacterium. RNAcentral's name for it is "partial 16S ribosomal RNA". It matches the Rfam family "Bacterial small subunit ribosomal RNA", at positions 29 to 523 of the family's 1533-position model. The record is from RNAcentral.
AGUGAACGCUGGCGGCAGGCCUAACACAUGCAAGUCGAGCGGCAGCACAGGAGAGCUUGCUCUCUGGGUGGCGAGCGGCGGACGGGUGAGGAACACAUCGGAAUCUACCCAGUUGUGGGGGAUAACGUAGGGAAACUUACGCUAAUACCGCAUACGACCUACGGGUGGAAGCAGGGGACCUUCGGGCCUUGCGCGAUUGGAUGAGCCGAUGUCGGAUUAGCUAGUUGGUGGGGUAAAGGCCCACCAAGGCGACGAUCCGUAGCUGGUCUGAGAGGAUGAUCAGCCACACUGGAACUGAGACACGGUCCAGACUCCUACGGGAGGCAGCAGUGGGGAAUACUGGACAAUGGGCGCAAGCCUGAUCCAGCCAUGCCGCGUGUGUGAAGAAGGCCUUCGGGUUGUAAAGCACUUUUGUACGGGAAGAAACCUUCCGGGUUAAUACCCCGGGAGAAUGACGGUACCGUAAGAAUAAGCACCGGCUAACUUCGUGCCAGCCGCCGCCGUAA